GACGAACGCUGGCGGCGUGCUUAACACAUGCAAGUCGAACGGAAAGGCCCUGCUCUUGUGGGGUGCUCGAGUGGCGAACGGGUGUGUAACACGUGAGUAAACUGCCCUUGACAUUGGGAUAACAUCAGGAAAAAGGGGCUAAUACCGGAUAGGAGCUCCUGCUGCACGGUGGGGGUUGGUAAGUUUCGGCGGUUGGGGAUGGACGCGCGGCUUAUCAGCUUGUUGGUGGGGUAGUGGCUUACCACGGCUUUGACGGGUAGCCGGCCUGAGAGGGUGACCGGCCACAUUGGGACUGAGGUACGGCCCAGACUCCUACGGGAGGCAGCAGUGGGGAAUAUUGCACAAUGGGCGGAGGCCUGAUGCAGCAACGCCGCGUGCGGGAUGACGGCCUUCGGGUUGUAAACCGCUUUCGCCUGUGACGAAGCGUGAGUGACGGUAAUGGGUAAAGAAGCACCGGCUAACUACGUG
RNAcentral lists this ribosomal RNA (468 nucleotides) under uncultured bacterium. RNAcentral describes it as "partial 16S ribosomal RNA". It matches the Rfam family "Bacterial small subunit ribosomal RNA", at positions 28 to 507 of the family's 1533-position model. The record is from RNAcentral.